Long non-coding RNA from Artibeus jamaicensis (Jamaican fruit-eating bat), 3445 nucleotides. RefSeq lists it as uncharacterized. NCBI's taxonomy places the organism in Eukaryota, Metazoa, Chordata, Mammalia, Chiroptera, Phyllostomidae. The transcript is spliced from 2 exons. The record is from RefSeq and is a predicted model, not a curated record.
GUAGGAGUUACAGAUAAUGUAUGCGGUCCAGCCUCAGUAAAUGGUGCUCUUCAUUCCCAAUGUCUGCCAACUUCCCACGUCUCUCGGGACCGUCUACCACUUCCUGGAGGCCUCUUUGCCCCGCCCCCGCUGUCCCUGCUCCCUCCUUGUCUGCACAGGCUCUCAGCUGUGGACCGUGGGAUCCCCCGGAGCUAGUUCGUGCCCCAGGCGGGUUAGGGAGGGGUGCAGACCUCACAGAUGCAGGCCCCGGGUGGUCUGCCGGGGACCAGAUGGCAAGGGCUCCCAGAGGUCCUGGCCCCACCAGGAGCCACGUCAGGGUGUUGCAGCCUUGGCCCCUGCUUUUUGGAAUGAAGCCGCCUCCGGCCCAAUCUACCCCAACAAAAUGAUGCCACGUCCCUGCCUCUGCCUCUCAGAAGUCCGCCCCGACUCCAAGUCUCCCGCAGGAGCAUGGGGUUCGUCGAAACUAAAUCACACCUCUGACCCAGCAGGUCUCUCGUUUCCACGCUGGAAAGGGGACACCCAGCACCGGACAUCUGAUUCCAAUCGGAAACCGGAGAGAAGGAAACAAAGAUGUUUGGGAUGAACACUACCCCCAAGUACGGCACCUGGGGUGUACUGAGCACUUUGAGCUGAAGGAGUCUGAUGAACAGCAGAAGCAGGAAGGUCACUGUGACCUUCCCCAUCUCCCCUGAGACAGGUCAUGAAACGUAAGGGAGAGGUGAGGAGAGGGGCAUCGUUAUCCCCGAAGACAAAGGGACCCAAGGAGAGUCCAGACAGACCUCGCACAGGCCCCCUGCUUCCUUACGGCGCCUGACUCCUACUCUGACCUCCCCGGUCCCUCUGUGCCCUUGUCAGACCCGCGGAAAAACCCUCAGUACAGCCGCACUCGGGUAUAACUGCUUCUCGGGGGCGACCACCUUGUGAAGACUCCCGUGUCACAUAAAACUCGUGUUACGUCGAUUUGUAUGUUUUUCGCCCAGUACCUGUCCUUGCCAGGUUAAUUUUCAGGCCCAGCCAGGGACUCUGAGAGGGCCAAGGAAAAGCUUCUCCUCUCCUGCACUGGUCAGCUCUGACCUCAAGCUGAUGGGCACCUCGGGCAGUGUAACGAAUGGGCCGACCCGGCUUCCGGCGUGACCCAGGAAGGCAGUGUGAGUCAGGGCCAGCACUGCCGGGACGAGUCCCUGCCUCCCCGAGGGCUGCCCUUUCUCCGGCGUGGGAUCCGAACAUGUCCGUCCGGGCUCUCGUUUUUCUAAUGGUCCCAGUCUGUGCAAUGAGGCCAGGGGCCAGCAGGCGUGAGCACAGGCCGGUGGGGGGCACUGGGGACUACACGGAUGACCAGAGUCUGAACUAGCUGCACCGCCCCCCGAGACCGGCCAGGCCGCAGCCCCUACCUACGGACAGGAUGGCGGGCCAUGGUAGGCCCUCUGCUAUCGCUGCUCACCACCAUGAUUCUGUGGAAUACUUACCGUAACGAUAUUUUAUACAAACACAGACCAAAGAAAUGCUGCUUCCACCCUACAGGAGCCCUGGUGCCCUUGACAACACCUUGGCCUGCUCUCUCACAGGGACGCCUGCCCCACUGGGAGCUUCUCCUCCAGAGGCUGCUGAGGCCUGACACGCAGCCGUGGCCUCCUGGACGAAGCAGCUGUCUGUCGUAGGGUCCGACGGGAGAUGGGGACUCACCCAGAGCCCUGAAGGAAUGGCGGCCUAGGUUGCCCCUGGGCUGCGCGCCUGGUCCCGGUGGCUGCGUGCAGAGGCUCAUUUUCCUGGAUGUCGUGCUAGCUCUGGGGACCUACUUAGGAAACAGCAGAACCAAGGCCGCCUUCCACUUGCUGGAGGUGGUGGGAGGGUUCCGGAAGACCCUCAUUAUUUCUUUCCCGUCCUCAGUCCCCCCGGGGCAGCGCUGCCAGCUGGCUGCGCUCCGAGUAAUGAGAUGGGAAUGCUGUCUCACGGAGGCCACGCCACGGCAGCUAAGUAUAGACGGCAGCUUCCCGGCACACCCCCCGCCUGCAUGCGCUAGAACAAUUAUAGGAAGGAGGCGUAAUUGCGACCUUGACCUGCGAGAGCACGGUCUUCUCUGUCUGGGGCCUGGGCUCUCCCUGGGUGAAAGGACAGCGUUCCUGGUCCGGCAGCUGGGGACGCUCUGUUCCUCUGUUACCUUUGGACUUGGUGGCUCCCGGACUGUGUUACAUCACAGAAGUGUCCACUGUGACUCGGAGCGUGCGGGGCUCAAAGGACAGUCCUCCACGGGCGGAGAUGAAUAGGCCUCAUUAGUGAGUCACAUUCCUUUCCCUUGGCCUCCCUUAUAAUUAGGGUGGCGGACACGCUGGCUGGCCCGAGACAGUUUCGGUUUGUGCCGGUUGCACCUGGGUGAUUAUUAACAACACCCACUUUCGCUCCCAGAAGGGACCUGGUUGGGGGACACAUUUCUUUUUUAACCCUCACCUGAGGACGCCUUUAUUGAUCUUAGAGGGAGGUGGAGGGAGGGCGGGAGAAACAGAAACAUUGAUCUGAGAGGGAUGCCGAUCAGGUGCCUUCUGUCUGCGCCCCACCUGGGAACUGAACCUGCGACGAAGGUCUGUGCCCUGACCAGGGAUCGAACCCACAACCUUCUGGUAUAUGGGACAAUGUUCCAAUCAAUCGAGCCACCAGCUAGGGUGGUUGGGUGAUCGAUUUGAAGAUGCCUGGUUUGUACUCUGGAGGACAAGGAGGAAGGCAAAACCUCUUCAUGGGGUGGACCCCCUGGAGAGUGUGCCUACGGAGGCAGGAGGAGUGUCGCAGACCGCUCUGCCUGGUUUCAGGACUUGAAUCUCUCUCCCUUGUGGCGAGGGGCGAGGGACGACCUCUGGAGUGCCAACUGCAGGAGACAAAGCCUGUCUCUGGUAGCAAAUGCUGCCUCAGUUCCUCUCCCUGCCCCCAGAGCUUAGUCAGAAGUCAGUGACGGGUAAGACCCCUCACAGCGGGGGGAGGGGGGGCAACCUAAGCCAGACUCGAUCACUGGGCAGGCCUUUGUGGAAGGACUCGCGGGGCUGCAACAAAGAGCAAUGGGCUCUCACCCUCACCCCCUUCCUGGCUUUGACAUAGCCUGAGUCCCCACGUUCUCUGGGAGAAGCGCUUCCUGGCUCUAAUCCCCUUAAGCCUGAAUACCUGUUGGGGAGAGGUGCAGCUCCUUGCCUUGCUAGAGUGUGUCCUGGGGAAAAAUCUGGCAUCACAAAGACUUGCUGAUAAACCUGUGAAAUCUGCUCUGCUAAGGGUGCUUUCAUUCAUAUGAUAAGGGUCCGAGAGGAAAUGAGUAUGUCUCCCAAAGUUUCUGCAACUCUCUUCCUGACAGACACUGACUCAGACUCUGAAGCCCUCAGACCUCUUUGUAAUGUUAUCUACUGUUUGAUCCUUGCCGCCUUGUAUUCCUGUGUAUUAGAACCCAAUAAAAGGCUAUGGAUGUGGG